UGCCGUCCCCGAGGUGUGAGGAAUAAAAUAAGAAUACCGGAGAUGUUUCUUUGGGGUUUCCCAAGUUUUGCCGGGUGCGUAACUCUCUCCUAGAUUCCCCCCACCCCACCCCCCCGACCUUCCGCUGAAGACGCAGCAAAGAGGAGUGCCAGCUGUGCCCUUCUUGAGCUAGCACUGCUGGGAACAGGAGACAAAGGCAGGGUAAAAACAUUUUAAAUCAAUGAAAUCAAUCAAUCUAGGGCAGCCCCAGGACAUUCGUGGGCAAAGCACCUUCUCCCUGAGCGGUUUUGGCCGAUGGAGGCUGCGCUGCAUUUCUCCACUUGCAUUUCUCCACUUGAACCUCCUGGUUCUGCACCCUCUUCUACCCAGAGAGGGAGUGGCUGGAGGUGGGAUCCGUGCUCAGGAAGGAGAGGUGGGGGCGGUCUGUCCUUCCAGAAGCAACUGGCAAGGCCGGUGGGUCUGUUCCUUUCCAGCAGCAGCUUCUGGCAUCUUCUAAAUUCAGCCGCCUGCUCCCAUCAUCCUGCCCCUGCUCUGGGGAUGCUCGGAGGCUGCCUGCCACCUUAUGGCCAAGAGAAAGGAAGGGAGAUGGGCUCAGCGGAGGAAGACAAGACGAGGCCUGGAAAGCCAACCCUCUUCCUAACGAUCAUUAGGCCUCAUUUUCAUGGGCAGAGUGAGAAACCAAAGAAGGGGUGGUCUGGGAGCGAGAGGAAGGAAGGGAUCUUUGUGAGGAGGUGGGAAGGGGGAUCCAGGAAAUCUCAGGCCUUGACCUGCAGCCAGGAUAGCCCCACAAAGCAGAGACAACGGUGUGACGGUGCAGCUCAUCACAAAAAUGUGAACCGCAGGACACCUCUGGGCGAACUUCAUCCAAAGGAUCCACAGGAAACAUGCUCAAGAUCUCCACCGUGCCCAUCGAAACCCUUUCAAUCGCAGUCAGAGUUCAUGCUGGCAGGAGAAGCGGUUUUAAUCAUGGAAAGGAAGAAAGUACGAAAAAGUACGGAUCUAGCCCACGCAUAAAACAUGGUGGCGGCGUCAUCACAA
RNAcentral lists this long non-coding RNA (1038 nucleotides) under Pogona vitticeps (central bearded dragon). RNAcentral's name for it is "lncRNA (ENSPVIG00000005029.1)". The record is from RNAcentral. Lineage: Eukaryota; Metazoa; Chordata; Lepidosauria; Squamata; Agamidae.